This 543-nucleotide ribosomal RNA is filed under the name Triticum aestivum (bread wheat). RNAcentral's name for it is "partial small subunit ribosomal RNA". The record is from RNAcentral. Lineage: Eukaryota; Viridiplantae; Streptophyta; Magnoliopsida; Poales; Poaceae.
AUGCCGAGCCGGCUUGGCCGCGUUCCUCUCAUCGCCUGUCCGGUCAAGCCCGACCGGCUGGACCCUCCUCGAGCGCCUAGAGGGUCUAGGAUUACACCCAGCGGGUUUGCCGACGCGCUCCGCGAGCGCCAAGCCGCACUGACUGUCUUCGACAACCUCUGCCGCGACUACACGAAAAUCAAUGUGAGCUCCUCACCCGCAUAUUUUUUGCAUCACGCAAGCAUGGAUAACCUCAAGCGAUGCUCGGGGGGCCAUCUCCGCAUUUUAUUACAGUUGGAUCACUGUUCGCCCCGGCGCCAGCCAGAGUUGGCCCGGGGGCUGGCCGCUUGGCCUGAGACGUUAGUUCCCGCAGACGGCUUAGUAGCGUGCGCGGUACCAAAAGCCUACCUCUCAGCCACAGAACGCAGAGCGGCUGUCCGGCUAGCGAGAGCAAAAGCUAGAGGUCACCCCACACGAAAAAUGUCCGGGAAGAGAAACGCUUCGGGCGACCCGACCAUUUACUUUAUGAGUAUCUGCUCGUUUAAAUCUGCUCCCAGACUCUGA